CUCCUGGCAAGAAAGCUGAGCCAUUGUGCUCUGCACUAGCUCUAGUUUCCAAAUGGUUUGAAGGUUUAAUUCCACACAGAGCACGUUGCAGAAAUCUAACCUCAAGGUGACAGAUAAUCAGAGAGGUCCGUAGCCAAGAGAAAGGGACACAACCUUCUUGCCAGUCACAGCUAACAAAGAGCUUGGCAAGCAGAGAUUCCAUCUUGGACUCAAUGAACACCACGAGACUAACAAGACUUUACAGAUUUGUAGGCCUUGAUUUACGGCAGAACAAUACAGAGCCUGAGAGCAAAAACUAUGAUAACUACUUCAUCAUUCUACUUAAGAACAACUCGAUUGAGCCAGUGAGUCCCCUCUCUGAAUCUGCUGGAAAUAGAAGAAUGUUUGCAGGAACUGGGUGAGGUAUUUUUCCUGUGAAAAAAGUAUGUGUGUGAACUAGUUAUGUUAACUGAAUUUUGGAACUUAAUUCCAAUUUACAAUUGGGGUUAGUGCAGAUGAACCGUGGAGGCAACACAGUGUGAGUACCAUGAAAACAAACUAGCACCACUAAAACCUAACUCUGAACACAUUUAUGUCAUGAUUCAGAUUUCAUAAAUACACGGCAAGGCCCCAGAUUGCACAGGGAAACAUAACUUGACAAUGGAGGAGCCUCAGACUCCGGUACACAACAAAAGAGACAAAGAGAGGUUUGACUUUAUAUUUGUAAAGGCACUCACCCGCAAUGUGUUGCAGGGUUUGCAAAGUGAGUGGCAAUGGAGGUUAUUUAAAGCUGUGGCUAGCCUGAUGGGUGAGAUAUUAGUUUAGCUUCAUACACCAUGGUGGGGGAUCUGAGCACAAUAUCAGCCUGGGCAUUCCUGUUAUGGAGCGGAUACCCUCACUCCUGGAACAGGUAAUGGGGAUAAGGAAGGAAUGUUUUGCAACGUCUCGGGACAAAGUCCCCCGUGCCAAGUCGCAUGUGGAAAAAAACAUCAGCUUUGGAGAAAUCCAAUUGCUCUAAUUUCCUAGACUUGGGUAAAAUGCUAUGACUACAUAAGAUGAGAAACAAAUCUAGGCAGCAAAAGUAGGCCACAAGGAAGGGAAAUGGUGGGACCGAAAUAACGUUGCUUGUCUGGGAAGCUGAGCCUGGGCCUACAGCUGGGUGCCCAGUGCAUCCCCACGUGGUGCCCCUUGCCUGUGGUGUUCCCUUUGGUGUUCAGAGCUCUAGGGCUGGGAUUUCAUGGCAAUAAAGCCAUACUUUUAAAAAAAUAGUAAGAUUAGAGAAUGGGAUGAGAUUGGUGAAAAUCUCAUGGAAAGAAGCAGAAGCUUCCAGAUAGGGGAGACAAGGAGGGAGAUAUUUAACAACAUGUAAGGCCAGCACAGCUGAAUCCUGAUCUAGACUGGCUCAUUUUCCCUCACAGCACAUAGAAGCUUCUAAAAAGACCAGGAGAGGUGAGAAACUUACAUGCAUUCUUGUUACGUAGUUUACCAUCACAGGACCAGAAUGUUCUUUGUGGCUUUUUUAUGGUGCCGUGUCUCAUCACAAUAUUAUGCUUUAUGCCUAUUCCCGCUCAUAAAACUUUGAGUACAUAGUUUCCACACAACAAAAGCAAGCUUUGGGUAAAGGUCAGGGCAUUCCUUGUAUCAUACAGAUAAGCCUGGCUGUUUGUGGUACAAGCUUUACCCAUUUCAAUAAACAAAAAUAUUCAGCAUUUGCAAACAUGCAGCUUCCAAACUUGAGUAAAAGGCAGCAUCCCAGACCCUCUCUUGUGUGGAAGGCUAUUAUUUGAAUGGUUCUUUUUCAAGGAAUGAUUAUGAAAAGUGGGACCAAAGGAGCCAGAUAAGAUUUGUGCCUCUCUAUCAGUGAAAGAGGAAGGUGAACCCCAUGCUCCAGGACAGAAGGAGGAUUUUUUAAUGUAUUGUUUGUUAAGCACCAACCAUGUGCUCAGCAUUGUACAGGGUU
This is a long non-coding RNA of Chelonia mydas (Green sea turtle), 1939 nucleotides long. RefSeq lists it as uncharacterized. The record is from RefSeq and is a predicted model, not a curated record. The transcript is spliced from 3 exons. NCBI's taxonomy places the organism in Eukaryota, Metazoa, Chordata, Testudines, Cheloniidae.